This 274-nucleotide ribosomal RNA is filed under the name uncultured bacterium. RNAcentral describes it as "partial 16S ribosomal RNA". It matches the Rfam family "Bacterial small subunit ribosomal RNA", at positions 523 to 796 of the family's 1533-position model. The record is from RNAcentral.
AUACGGAGGGUGCAAGCGUUAAUCGGAAUUACUGGGCGUAAAGCGCGCGUAGGCGGAUAUUUAAGUCUCAUGUGAAAGCCCUGGGCUCAACCUGGGAACUGCAUGGGAUACAGGGUAUCUAGAAUACAGUAGAGGGUAGUGGAAUUUCAGGUGUAGCGGUGAAAUGCGUAGAGAUCUGAAGGAACAUCAGUGGCGAAGGCGACUACCUGGACUGAUAUUGACGCUGAGGUGCGAAAGCGUGGGGAGCAAACGGGAUUAGAAACCCUAGUAGUCC